GUGGAAUUUUGUUUGAAAUAAAGAAAAAUAUCUUUGAUCAAAUGAAUGACGACUAAGCAUUGAAUAAUUAUUAUGUAGUUGAAGGGUCAAUUUAACAUUGAUUUGAAAACUAAUCAGGACCCAUUAGAGGCGUAAGCAAAGGAGAGAAUAAGAAUACUAAUUUUGAUCAAACCCAACGAAUUUUACAUUUUGAAACUUAAAAUAUGUCACACUCUAAAGGCUAUAAACCAACAAAAUCGAGAUAUUGACUUUUUCGUCGUUACUCUUAUUUUAUUUUAUCCAAAGCUUUUUUUUCAAGAAUUUGGUUGAGGAUAACGCCAAGAGUGUCAACUUCUCGUAUACAAUUAUCUAUGCCUCUCGAAUUAAUUUCAUAUUAUUACGUAAUAUAUGUAAAUUUCUUAUAAAUUGUAAUCAUCUGAUCAUGAAAAUAAAAGACUUAUAAAGUAUGUAUAUAUGUGUAUUAAUUUUACCCCAAUCCAUAACAUUAUAUAAAUCGACUAGUAUUGUUAUAUGUUUGAAUAAGGUUUUUGUGAUAAAUAGACUACAUUGUAUAAACUGGAUGCAAAAUAAAUGAGGUGACAUCAUCAUCUUAAAGUUUAUUGGUUCCAACUUUUGUUUUAGUAGAUAUGGAUUAAUUAACUAACUUCUAAAGUUUUGUUUCUAGAAAACCAUGAACACGAAAGAAGAUCAUGACAUAAUCUUCUAUAUGGACCAACCAUAUCAAAGUAAAACAGAGAUAUAUGGAUCAAUAAAGAUACUGUUGUCAAGAAUGAAUGAAAACGUACUUGGGAUGUCCCAAGGCUCACACU
This is a long non-coding RNA of Arabidopsis thaliana (thale cress), 809 nucleotides long. RefSeq annotates it as other RNA. Lineage: Eukaryota; Viridiplantae; Streptophyta; Magnoliopsida; Brassicales; Brassicaceae. The record is from RefSeq. The transcript has a single exon.